GAUGAAGAACGCAGCGAAAUGCGAUAAGUAAUGUGAAUUGCAGAAUUCAGUGAAUCAUCGAAUCUUUGAACGCAUCUUGCGCUCCUUGGUAUUCCGAGGAGCAUGCCUGUUUGAGUGUCAUUUCACCACUCAAGCCUGGCUUGGUGUUGGGCGACGUCCCCUUUGGGGACGCGCCUCGAAACGCUCGGCGGCGUGGCACCGGCUUUAAGCGUAGCAGAAUCUUUCGCUUUGGAAGUCGGGGCCCCGUCUGCCGGAAGACCUACUCGCAAGGUUGACCUCGGAUCAGGCAGGGAUACCCGCUGAACUUAAGCAUAUCAAUAAGCGGAGGA
Molecule: unclassified non-coding RNA, 329 nt
Filed under: soil metagenome
Description: partial contains 5.8S ribosomal RNA, internal transcribed spacer 2, and large subunit ribosomal RNA
Rfam family: 5.8S ribosomal RNA (bases 1-120)
Source: RNAcentral